GAAGAAGAAAGGCUAAAGUCCUAAGUAAAGCAAAAAAGGUAAGGGAUAAGAAACAAGACCACAAAUGGAGUUCCUCUCUUGAGAUCAUAUUGAUGAUCCAAGUAGCUCCCAUCCUUUGGAAUAAGCAAAUCAAAUAAACAUAAACUCAAGCAAUCAGACAAGCCUCUUAAGAGGUCCUCAAUGCAUCUUGAAUCUUUCUCUUUUUGGAUGAAAAUGGCAAUGGUUCUCAAGCUUGAAUCAAGGUGGA
This 247-nucleotide long non-coding RNA is filed under the name Lathyrus oleraceus (garden pea). RNAcentral's name for it is "Pisum sativum (pea) long non-coding RNA (PSAT_LNC029381)". Lineage: Eukaryota; Viridiplantae; Streptophyta; Magnoliopsida; Fabales; Fabaceae. The record is from RNAcentral.